AAACGCUUGAAGUCAGUCGCAUCCUUCAGAAAUCAACCUGGCCGCUAGGCCUGGUGUACUUUCUGUUUGGAUGGGCCAACAUCAAUUUUGAUCGUUGGAUAAGGGCCUCGGGAAUGUGGCAUCUUCGGAUGUGUUAUAGACCUUGGUCGGAUACAACGGUUGGGAUUGAGGAACUCAGUGUUUACACUUAGGAUGCUGGCAUAAUGGCUUUAAUCGA
This 217-nucleotide ribosomal RNA is filed under the name Agaricales sp. Its description in RNAcentral is "partial large subunit ribosomal RNA". Lineage: Eukaryota; Fungi; Basidiomycota; Agaricomycetes; Agaricales. The record is from RNAcentral.